RNAcentral lists this ribosomal RNA (169 nucleotides) under uncultured bacterium. Its description in RNAcentral is "partial 16S ribosomal RNA". It matches the Rfam family "Bacterial small subunit ribosomal RNA", at positions 338 to 524 of the family's 1533-position model. The record is from RNAcentral.
CCUACGGGAGGCAGCAGUGGGGAAUUUUCGGCAAUGGGCGUAAGCCUGAACGAGCAACGCCGCGUAGAGGAUGACAGCCUUCGGGUUGUAAACUCCUUUUUCGGGGGACGAUGAUGACGGUACCCUCGGAGGAAGCACCGGCUAACUCUGUGCCAGCAGCCGCGGUAAU